AGCAGCCGCGGUAAUUCCAGCUCCAAUAGCGUAUAUUAAAGUUGUUGCAGUUAAAAAGCUCGUAGUUGAAUUUCGGGGUUAGUAGGUUGGUCAUGCCUCCGGUAUGUACUGGCCUCACUGAUUCCUCCUUCCUGAUGAACCGUAAUGCCAUUAAUUUGGUGUUGCGGGGAAUUUGGACUGUUACUUUGAAAAAAUUAGAGUGUUUAAAGCAAGCUAACGCUCGAAUACAUUAGCAUGGAAUAAUGAAAUAGGACGUUCGAUCCUAUUUUGUUGGUUUCUAGGAUUGACGUAAUGAUUAAUAGGGAUAGUUGGGGGCAUUAGUAUUCAAUUGUCAGAGGUGAAAUUCUUGGAUUUAUUGAAGACUAACUACUGCGAAAGCAUUUGCCAAGGAUGUUUUCAUUAAUCAAGAACGAAAGUUAGGGGAUCGAAGACGAUCAGAUACCGUCGUAGUCUUAACCAUAAACUAUGCCGACUAGGGAUCGGAUGAUGUUAAUUUUUUAAUGACUCAUUCGGCGCCUUACG
RNAcentral lists this ribosomal RNA (522 nucleotides) under uncultured Glomeraceae. RNAcentral's name for it is "SSU rRNA". It matches the Rfam family "Eukaryotic small subunit ribosomal RNA", at positions 569 to 1092 of the family's 1831-position model. Lineage: Eukaryota; Fungi; Glomeromycota; Glomeromycetes; Glomerales; Glomeraceae. The record is from RNAcentral.